UCUAUAGAGUGACUUCAGGGUCACUUCCGGGUCUAUAGCGUGACUUCAGGGUCACUUCCGGGUCUAUGGGGGUGGGUUCAGCGUCACUUCCGGGUCUAUGGGGGUCACUUCCGGGUCUAUGGGGGUGGGUUCAGGGUCACUUCCGGGUCUAUGGGGUCACUUCCGGGUCUAUGGGGUGGGUUCAGUGUCACUUCCGGGUCUAUGGGGUUAGUUC
RNAcentral lists this long non-coding RNA (214 nucleotides) under Coturnix japonica (Japanese quail). RNAcentral describes it as "lncRNA (ENSCJPG00005002125.1)". The record is from RNAcentral. Lineage: Eukaryota; Metazoa; Chordata; Aves; Galliformes; Phasianidae.